GAGUUCUUCUAGUGAAUUUUGUAACUGGGGGCUUAUCUUGGGGACCCUCAAAUAUGCAAUCAGUGUCAGAAAUGAGGGUUGGUGUCAGAAAGUGAGAUCCCAUGGACUACUUCUUUUUCUUUUUCUUUUUUUCAUACCAGGACUGAACCCAGGAGUGCUUAACCACUGAGCCACAUCCCCAGCCCUUUUUAUAUUUUAUUAAGAGACAGGGCCUCCCUCAGUGGCUGAGGCUGACUUUGAACUCUCGAUCCUCCUGCCUCAGCCUCCCGAGUGGCUGGGAUAACCGACGUGCACCACAUGGACAGUUUCUUAACACAUCUCCCAAACUGUGAGGGAACCAAGUUCUCUCAUUUUAAGAGAACAGAGCCGCAGGAGUGCGGCCUCCGCAGCAGCGUGACUCACUGGCUGUGCGCUUAUGUGAUUUGUCGUCGCGGCUCUCAAAACAAACACAGGCCUUCUCCCUUCCAGAAGCUUCUGUGGCAGCGGGUCUCAGAUUUCAAUCCCUCAAGAAAGACCUCUCCCUCCAGUAGUGUCCAGUCUUCCUCAAGCAACUUCCUUCCGCUGUCCGUUCAUUCCCUCAACACUGUGGUCAUGAGGAUCCCCUGGAGGACCCCAGCAGUGCCUGAAGUCCCAAGCUAUCUUGGCCCUGAGGCUGGACUUCCUGUGGUCCCGUCUAUGUCAGUGACUUCCUGCAGCAGACCCAUUUCUGGCUCCAGUAUUCCCCAGAAGGCUCACUGAGUCCACCUGAGGCUGCCCAGUGGCUGAAGACAUUUGUGGACAAACUUCCCUCCCUCUCUCCUUCCCUGGGGUCAGACUCCGCACCAAUCCAGCAGCUCUCCCAGCCUGCCCACCCCCAUUUUCUCUAUUAUAAGCUGUGUCUAUGUCCCAGAGACACCAUGAAAAUGACCAUCUUCACGUCACAUAAACAGCAAAAUGUAUUUCCGGUUCAGGAGACCAGGAGUCCCCGACCCCGGUGUCAGGAAGGUGUUUCCCUCUGGACUCUCUGAGGAGAGGCCGUUUCUUGCCUCUUCUGGAAAUCAGUGACUUCGGGAAAUCCAAGGAGCUCCUCAGCUUCUAGACACGUCGCUGUAACCUCUGGCUUCAUGGUCACAUGACCUCUCCUCUGUGUCUCUGUGUCCUCUCUUCUGCUUAUAAGGAUGCCAGCCAUUGACUUCAGAGUCCUCGUAACCCAAGAUGACGGCACCUUGAGAUCUUUAAACAGUUGUCUCUGUACAGGGCCUAUUUCCAAAUCAGGCCGCACUCCGAGGCCUGGGGGACAGGAGUUUUUGAAGAGACACUACACUGGUGCUUCCCUGCAUCGGCGUCUGACUCUUGGUGAACCUGAACCAACACACCUCCGUGGGUGGGACCAUGUGAGACAUCAGAGCUACAAUUGAGGCCCACCUCACAGGACAGUUACCACAAAUGUGGCCCCUGCCUCACGGGACAGGGGAUUUGGGAAUCGGACAGGCAGGGAGGGCCAGGUUGAGGAUGGGGGUGCCCUGAGACUCACCUCCACCUGCUUCUUGUCCUCCCAGUGAAAGCCUCUGUUCCGCUGGGUCCCACUUGUUUGGGACCUGGCCUUGCCACUUCUGGAGUGGGUUCUUUCUCUCCUGGAGCAGGCUUGCCCUCUUCUGGAGUGGCCCACUUCUUCUAGACCAGGUCUGGCCUCUUCUGGAGAGGGACCUGCCCCUUCUAGAGCAGGCUUGGUCCCUUUUGGAGUGGGCCCUGCCUCUUCUAGACCAGGCUUUGCCUCUUCUGGAGCAGUCUCUGUCUCUUCCAGAGCAGGCUUGGCCUUUUCUGGAGCAGGGCCUGCCUUUUCUAGAGCACACUCUUCUGGAGUGUGGGAGGGGGGCUUCCUGUUUUGGAGCCAGCCUGCCUCUUCUGGAGUGGGCCCUGCCUCUAGUGGACCAGGCUUUGGCCUCUUCUGGAGUGGUCUCUGCCUAUUCUAGAGCAGGCUUGGUCUCUUUCUGGAGUGGUCCCUGCCUCUUCUGGACCAGGUUUCUGGAGCUGGGCCUGCCUCUUCUAGAGCAGGUCUGUUCUCUUCUGUAGUGAGGCCCGGCCUGUUCUGGAGCCAGCCUGUCUCUUCUGUAGUGGGCCCUGCCUCUUCUGGACUAGGUUUUUCCUCUUCUAGAGCAGACUUGGCUGGAGUGGGCCCUACCUCUCCUGGACCAGGUUUGUCUUCUUCUGGAAUGGUCUCUGCCUCUUCUAGAGCAGGCUUGGUCUCUUCUGGAAUUGGGGCCCUGCCUGUUCUGGAGCCAGCCUGCCUCUUCUGGAGGGGGCCCUGGCAUUUCUGGAGCUAUUCCUGACUCUUCUGGAGCGGGGCCUGGCUUCCAGGCGGUACACACGCAGGAGGCUGUCUUGUUGGUGAAAACACCAGGGAGAGUCUGCAGGGCUCUCUUCUCCCUGCCUCUCCUGAGCCUGAAAUAAAUGAGAAAGAGCUGUUCCUGGCAGGGUCUGCCGAGGAGCUUCAUGGCAGGAAUGAAAAUUGGCUGCAGCAUCCAAGAAAUCCUCGAAUGGCAGGGAUUUCCAGGACAACAUACCUCUAGGAAAGGAGCUGGAGGGGGAGGAUUGCAGGCGCCUCGGCGAUGGCACCCACUGUGUGCACAGGUGUACACCCCUACCUGGGGCCUACCUGCUGGCACUGGGGGUGAGGGGAGGGGCUUGGGGAACCCGGCAGGGGUCACAGCACAGACCCACCUGUAGUGUCUGCCCAUCUGCCAGCCUCUUCCAGUACCCAAGCCCAUCGGCUGUUUGGGGUCACCUUGUCCUGUUACAUUUCAACAAAAUCCGGCUUGGCACCCAUCCAGGGCCUGGGAGGGACGCCAGGUCCCUUCGACUCCCUGGGAAUUCUCUGCAGGCUGACAUGGCUUCAGGCCUGUCUGGCACCGGGCUCUGGCUUUCUCUGAAUUCUCCAUCUGCCCUGGGAUGCGGUGUGUCCUGGGCUGGCCGGUCCUCCUUGGCCAAGCGUCACAUCCAGACGGUCAGGGACCUAACGCUGCCUGAAAGCGGCUUUUUCCAGACUCCAUCACAUCCUCGGAUGCUUAAACUGAAACAAGGAGACCCUGGCCCUCGAAGUCCCUUGGCCAGUCCUGCCUCUUGGAGCUGUGCCUGGCCCUUCUACCCUCCGACCUGGCCUCGAAGCCCCAGUUCCAUCAGAGUGGCCCAUGACAGGUUCUCCUCCCUCUUCUCACCCCCACCUUAAAUGGAAUCUGCCAGACGGAUCUACCUCCCAUCCCUGUUUAGACAACCCCUUCCUCUCCCCCAGGGAAGUAAUUUCUGGAUCUUUCUAGAAACCCAAGCCAGAGAGAAGUACCCAUGUCCAAGCCCUGGCCUCGAGCUGAGCUGGUAGCACACCAGAAAUGCAAGAGCUGGUGCAGCUUGACUUGCAGCCCUGUGUCUUACGGAGGGGAAACUGAGGCCAGAGACAGAAACCACUUGCCCGAAUCAUGCCGCGAGUUAGUGUCCUGGGAACCGGGAACCUGGCCUCCUAAGGUCUUAUCCCAGCUCUCAGGGCCUGAGGGCACCUCCAGGCACAGAGCUGUGGGUAAGGGGUCCUCAGACAGCUCCCUCUUGCAGCUGGGGCUCGGAUACAGUAGAAAAUCUGUGCCAGGCAGGCCUGGGUGCCUCCCUCUCUCUAGGUUCAGGGACGCUAGACUGGGAGGUGGGCAGACCUUACUGCCUUCUGUCCCUCCUCUCCACUCCAGUCCCCAGAGUACAGGACAGCUCUGUCCUCCUCUCCACUGAGGAAGAACAUCUUUGCUAAAACCAUUAUAGAGCAUUCUGGACAAAAAUUCGUUCCUAUGUUGAAGUCCUACCCCUCCGUAUGGCUAUAAGGGGCCCAUAAGGAGGUAACUGAGGUCAAGUAAGGUCAUAAGGGAGGGGCCCUGCUCCAAUAGGAGUAGUGUCCUCAUAAGAAGAGGGGGCCAGUGUCUCUCUCCUCUGUGGGGACAUAGCAAAGAGGCCAACUGUAGUCAGGAAUAAAGCCCUUGUCAGAAAGCAACCCUGCCAGAAUCUCGAUCUUGGUCUUACAGCCUCCAGAACUGUGAGAAAAUGAAUCUCUACUGUUUAAGCCACCUAGUCUGUGGCAUUGUGUUAUAGCAGCCACAACAGAAAAAGAGAUCAGAACUAUUUAUAGACUCAGUGAUAUCAAGUCUGGGAGUUUCCUCAAAAUAAUAACAGAGGAGGAAAUGGGCAGGGGUACAAAGGAAACAGGGUUAUCUGCAAGCUGACAACUGUCGAAUGUGAGCGAUGGGCUCCUGGUGGGGGUCAUUAUUUUGUUCUCUUUGUUUUUAUGUGUUCCUGAAAAAAAAAGAAUGUUCAUAGAAAUAUAUAGUGGAGUAGGUCAUGAAAUCAAUUCAGUGGGUCACGACCAACAUUAGAAACAACAUCGAAGAAAAUAGAACAGUCUAGAAUAGAACCCACCAGAAUGCAUUACCUGAAUUAAUAUAAUUAAUACUUGACGAAACAUUUUUUAGGAGUGUGUGUGUGUGUGUGUGUGUGUGUGAAUGUUAGAUGUACUUUUUACUGAAGUCACAGUGAAAAGAGUUGGAAAUCGAUUUCUCGUACUUGGUUUGACAGUGAUCUUUGGAACCAGAUUGCCUAAUCCCAGCUAGCUAUGUGACCAUGAGCAAGUUACCAAGUUUCUCUGUGCCUCAGUCCCCAUGUCUUUAAAAUGCAGCUAAGACUACUACUCACAUCCUAGGAUUGAUGUGAGAAUUAAAUGAGUUAAUAGGUGUGAGGCAUUCCCAACAACGCCUAACAGGCUGUAAGUGGUCAAUAAACACUAAUAUUACAAUGACAUUGAGUUUGCUGGCUUGAAAAGGUGUGUGUUUUCUGAGAGAAAACCACAAAAGAAGAAGUCUCUAACGGUGGAAUUCCAGACAGUGAGGUGACUGCGUUCACUCAUGAACAUUCAUCAUGGCGUCAGGCACGUCCUCUAGGUACUGGUCCCAGGACACUGGGAAUAGGGGGCGGGGGGAGAGACAGACACAGUCCAUGCCCCCUGGAGCUCACCCUCCACUGAGAAGAGAAAUUAAGCCCUUUAUCAUAAUAAACGUGUAAUUAUUGGGUGGGAGAAAAAAGCAGGGUGGUAGAGGACCAAGAGACCAGGCAGAAACCAACACCCAAAUGAUAUUUUUGACUCAGCCACAAGUAAGAUCAGGGGCAGGUGUGAGUGGGACAGGCAGAGGAACAGAGAGGGCCAAGGCGUGGGGACAGGACCACUGCAUGACAGGAGCCGGGUGCUAAGUACUGCCCUGCCCAGGAGGGUAGCCACCAGCUGCAUGUGGCUACUUAAAUUCAAAUUGAUGAAAAACAAAAUUAAAAAUUCAGUCCCCUGGUGCUCAAAGGCCACUCUGCAUUAGGCAGACCGUGCACCAAACAUCCCCGUGGCGGAAGGCUGGCGGGUCAGCACUGGUCAAGAUGCCACAGUAACGGCUGGACCCUGGAACCACCAAGGAACCAAAUUUCAAAUUUGAUUUCAUGUUAAUUCAUUAAAAUUAAAUUGUUCAAUGGCCCUUUCAUUCAGUAAUUGGAAGACGUAAUUAUGUUUGGAAAAUAACUUGGGUAUGUAUAUCUACUUUUUUCAACUGUUACAUUUUAUGGAAUCCAAAUAGAGAUCAAGUUGAAAUUCACUGGAAGAAGAAAAACAGGCACACCAGACGGCGAAGACACAAAAUGAAAGAAAUGAAGAUAAAAUAUCUCAUUAAUUAGUUUUGUAUUGAUUACAAGAUAAGAUGAUAUUUUGGAUAUAAUGCGUUCCCGAAAACACGUUAUGAAAAUAAAAGAUAAUCUGGGCUGUUUUCCCUUUUAUUUUUAGUGUAGC
This 5827-nucleotide long non-coding RNA is filed under the name Marmota monax (woodchuck). The record is from RNAcentral. Lineage: Eukaryota; Metazoa; Chordata; Mammalia; Rodentia; Sciuridae.